CCUACGGGUGGCUGCAGUGGGGAAUAUUGGACAAUGGGCGAAAGCCUGAUCCAGCCAUGCCGCGUGUGUGAAGAAGGCCUUCGGGUUGUAAAGCACUUUCAGUGGGGAAGAAAGCCUUGGGGCUAAUACCCUCGAGGAAGGACAUCACCCACAGAAGAAGCACCGGCUAACUCCGUGCCAGCAGCCGCGGUAAAACGGAGGGUGCGAGCGUUAAUCGGAAUUACUGGGCGUAAAGCGCGCGUAGGCGGUCUGAUAAGCCGGUUGUGAAAGCCCCGGGCUCAACCUGGGAACGGCAUCCGGAACUGGCAGGCUAGAGUGCAGGAGAGGAAGGUAGAAUUCCCGGUGUAGCGGUGAAAUGCGUAGAGAUCGGGAGGAAUACCAGUGGCGAAGGCGGUCUUCUGGACUGACACUGACGCUGAGGUGCGAAAGCGUGGGUAGCAAACAGGAUUAGAUACCCUAGUAGUC
This 465-nucleotide ribosomal RNA is filed under the name Vreelandella stevensii. RNAcentral's name for it is "partial 16S ribosomal RNA". It matches the Rfam family "Bacterial small subunit ribosomal RNA", at positions 338 to 795 of the family's 1533-position model. Lineage: Bacteria; Pseudomonadati; Pseudomonadota; Gammaproteobacteria; Oceanospirillales; Halomonadaceae. The record is from RNAcentral.